RNAcentral lists this ribosomal RNA (510 nucleotides) under uncultured bacterium. Its description in RNAcentral is "bacterial SSU rRNA". It matches the Rfam family "Bacterial small subunit ribosomal RNA", at positions 9 to 518 of the family's 1533-position model. The record is from RNAcentral.
GGGUUCGAUUCUGGCUCAGGAUGAACGCUGGCGGCGUGCCUAACACAUGCAAGUCGAGCGAAGUUACUUCAGGAAGCCUUCGGGUGGAAUGGAUUUAACUUAGCGGCGGACGGGUGAGUAACGCGUGGGCAACCUACCCUGUACAGGGGAAUAACAAUGGGAAACCAUUGCUAAUACCCCAUAAUACCUUUUAGGGGCAUCCCUUAAAGGUCAAAGAAUUUCGGUAUAGGAUGGGCCCGCGUCGCAUUAGCUAGUUGGUAAGGUAAUGGCUUACCAAGGCGACGAUGCGUAGCCGGCCUGAGAGGGUGAACGGCCACACUGGAACUGAGACACGGUCCAGACUCCUACGGGAGGCAGCAGUGGGGAAUAUUGCACAAUGGGGGAAAAACCCCCUGAUGCAGCAACGCCGCGUGGGCGAUGAAGGCUUUCGGGUCGUAAAGCUCUGUCCUAAGGGAAGAUAAUGACGGUACCUUAGGAGGAAGCCCCGGCUAACUACGUGCCAGCCGCUGC